GUCAUUCAGUACAAGAAAGGCUGACGCAACUCUCAGGAUCAAAUCUAUCUGGAAGAUCUCCACCAUAAGACAAAGCAAAGAAUUUUCUGUAUAUAUACGUGUGUGUGUGUAUGUUUAUGUUGUUUGUAAAGCGCUCACUGAUCAUCAGACCUGCCAACAUACAGAGAGAGUGUUCAAGGUUUCUGGAUUAAUCAGACAGUGAAGAGAAUUUCAUCACAGCCACAGCAAGAGAGAGACAGAGGGCAGCAGUGACUGAGCAGAUUUGAACAGACAGAGGUUAUUGAAGAGCGUAUUGUGAAAGCUUCGAACAAUUCAAUAGAACAUGGUUGAUAAAAGCUCGGAAGCCAUGCUGACAACGAAGGUCAUCAGCUCAACUGGGACAAAGUGACUCUACUGGGUCAAGCGAACAACAGACGUACAAGGGAAUUUCUGGAGGCCUGGUUCUCAACACG
Long non-coding RNA from Rhincodon typus (whale shark), 452 nucleotides. RefSeq lists it as uncharacterized. Lineage: Eukaryota; Metazoa; Chordata; Chondrichthyes; Orectolobiformes; Rhincodontidae. The record is from RefSeq and is a predicted model, not a curated record. The transcript has 3 exons.